UACGGAGGGUGCAAGCGUUAUCCGGAUUCACUGGGUUUAAAGGGUGCGUAGGAGGACAGGUAAGUCAGUGGUGAAAUCCUAGGGCUUAACCCUAGAACUGCCGUUGAUACUCUCUGUCUUGAAUACCGUGGAGGUGAGCGGAAUAUGUCAUGUAGCGGUGAAAUGCUUAGAUAUGACAUAGAACACCAAUUGCGAAGGCAGCUCACUACACGAGCAUUGACUCUGAGGCACGAAAGCGUGGGGAUCAAAC
RNAcentral lists this ribosomal RNA (250 nucleotides) under uncultured bacterium. Its description in RNAcentral is "partial 16S ribosomal RNA". It matches the Rfam family "Bacterial small subunit ribosomal RNA", at positions 524 to 773 of the family's 1533-position model. The record is from RNAcentral.